Molecule: ribosomal RNA, 301 nt
Filed under: uncultured bacterium
Lineage: Bacteria
Description: partial 16S ribosomal RNA
Rfam family: Bacterial small subunit ribosomal RNA
Source: RNAcentral
CAGUCGCCGCGGUAACACGAAGGGGGCUAGCGUUGUUCGGAAUUACUGGGCGUAAAGCGCACGUAGGCGGAUAUUUAAGUCAGGGGUGAAAUCCCGCAGCUCAACUGCGGAACUGCCUUUGAUACUGGGUAUCUUGAGUAUGGAAGAGGUUAGUGGAAUUGCGAGUGUAGAGGUGAAAUUCGUAGAUAUUCGCAGGAACACCAGUGGCGAAGGCGGCUAACUGGUCCAUAACUGACGCUGAGGUGCGAAAGCGUGGGGAGCAAACAGGAUUAGAUACCCCUGUAGUCCCUGUCUCUUAUAC